GGCGAACGCUGGCGGCGUGCUUAACACAUGCAAGUCGAACGGAAAGGCCCUGCUUGCAGGGUACUCGAGUGGCGAACGGGUGAGUAACACGUGGGUGAUCUGCCCUGCACUUCGGGAUAAGCUUGGGAAACUGGGUCUAAUACCGGAUAGGAACCAUCUUUAGUGUGGUGGUUGGAAAGUUUUUUCGGUGUAGGAUGAGCUCGCGGCCUAUCAGCUUGUUGGUGGGGUAAUGGCCUACCAAGGCGGCGACGGGUAGCCGGCCUGAGAGGGUGUACGGCCACAUUGGGACUGAGAUACGGCCCAGACUCCUACGGGAGGCAGCAGUGGGGAAUAUUGCACAAUGGGCGCAAGCCUGAUGCAGCGACGCCGCGUGGGGGAUGAAGGCCUUCGGGUUGUAAACUCCUUUCGCUAGGGACGAAGCUUUUUGUGACGGUACCUAGAUAAGAAGCACCGGCUAACUACGUG
Molecule: ribosomal RNA, 465 nt
Filed under: uncultured bacterium
Lineage: Bacteria
Description: partial 16S ribosomal RNA
Rfam family: Bacterial small subunit ribosomal RNA
Source: RNAcentral